Podarcis lilfordi (Lilford's wall lizard) is the source of this 1245-nucleotide non-coding RNA. The record is from the annotation of a GenBank genome assembly. NCBI's taxonomy places the organism in Eukaryota, Metazoa, Chordata, Lepidosauria, Squamata, Lacertidae.
GAAGCUUCAACAGAGCAGGGUGGCUUUUAGGGAGCUGCCCUGGCUCUCCCUCUGUGGCAUGCCUGGACCAUGGUUUGGCUGAGCUGUAAGAGGAGAUGGGCAGUUUGGCUGAGCAGGGAAGUGAAGAGGAGGAAAGGGAAGGGAAGGGAAGGGAAGGGAAGUGAAGUGCACAGGGCAGGCUUCGCAAGCCUUCCCACGCUCACUCUGUCACCAUUGCCAGUGGUGGGAGAAGGGCAACAAGGGGGUAAAAUCUCCCUUUUGUCUCCCCCCUGUUGAUGCCACUACUCUUGCUACUGUUUUGGUACGGAGAGAUAAAAGCCCCCUGGCAUAAUUCAUAUUUAAUUGUCACUGAAAUGCUAUAAUCAACCUAUAGUAGAUCCUUUGAGCAUAAAGAAUGGGGGAAGAGUGUAGCUCUUUGAAGGUUUAAAAUAUACUAAUUAAGUAAAUACUCUAUUAGAUUUCAUUCUGAUAAUGCAUUUAUUUUUGCAUUUUGCAUUUAUCCAUAUCUUAUAUUUAUAAUUCACAUUCCUUGCAUUUGAUAUUUUAAACACAAGGGAUAAAAAUCAAAUAAGAAAAGAAAAGGACUUUUUAGUCACCAAAUUGUUUUAACUUUAUCCUCUAUUAUUAGUUUACCACUCAUUGAACCCCUGUAGAGAGGGCCAACAGACCUUUGUAUGAUGUUUAGAAGUGCAUUAAGAGCCCAGGCAGUUCUUUCCGUGGUACACAACAUUUCUCUCUUUUGAAAGACAUUUUCUCUCUCUCUUUUGUCCCCUCUUGGCUUUAACCUUCUGAAUGCAUUUUAACUCUAUUACACUGAAAGGACACCCACGAGGCUUCACAAAUACAUGCUGGUGACCCUUUGACACAGGAGGAAAGUUGGAACAUAUAACAUUCUUUUCAAAUGAAGAACUCCAGGAAGAAAGAGAAAGAAGAAAUGGUUGCUGGAAGAUUUUUCUUUUCAUUUGGUGGUGGUAGUAGUAAUAGCAAUAGCAAUAACAAUCAGUCUAGAAGAAAGUCCAUUCCUUUCCCUGCCACUUUGAUUAUUUUAAAUUACUUCCCAAAUACAGGUUCAACACCAGAAAGAAUCUGGUAUUCUGGAAUAAUUCUGCUCACAUUGAUAAUUAUAUAGUAUAUAGCAAGAUGGUAAGUCACCUUCAGGCAUUCAUAAGUCCUAUUCAUGGAGAUGGAAUAAGGUUAUGUGUGGCGAUCCCACCCUCUCUACUCUGAAGCUUCCUCUAUUGCGUG